This 2140-nucleotide ribosomal RNA is filed under the name human gut metagenome. RNAcentral describes it as "bacterial LSU rRNA". It matches the Rfam family "Bacterial large subunit ribosomal RNA", at positions 482 to 2641 of the family's 2925-position model. The record is from RNAcentral.
GACCGAUAGCGCAUAGUACCGUGAGGGAAAGGUGAAAAGAACCCCGGGAGGGGAGUGAAAUAGAACCUGAAACCCUGCACUUACAAGCUGUGGGAGCACAUUACUUGUGUGACCGCGUACUUUUUGUAGAACGGGCCAACGAGUUACGUUAAGUAGCAAGGUUAAGCACUUAAGGUGUGGAGCCGUAGCGAAAGCGAGUCUUAAAUGGGCGAUUAAGUUACUUGGCGUAGACCCGAAACCGGGCGACCUAUCCAUGAGCAGGUUGAAGCGAAAGUAAAAUUUCGUGGAGGACCGAACCCACGAGCGUUGAAAAGCUCGGGGAUGACUUGUGGAUAGCGGUGAAAUUCCAAUCGAACCCGGAGAUAGCUGGUUCUCCCCGAAAUAGCUUUAGGGCUAGCCUCAAGCGUAGAGAAACGGAGGUAGAGCACUGAAUGUCCUAGGGGGUAUUGCACUUACCGAAGACUAUCAAACUCCGAAUGCCGUUUUCUUUUACUUGGGAGUCAGACUGUGGGUGAUAAGAUUCAUAGUCAAAAGGGCAACAGCCCAGAUCGUCAGCUAAGGUCCCUAAAUGUACGUUAAGUGGUAAAGGAUGUGGGAUUGCACAGACAACCAGGAUGUUGGCUUAGAAGCAGCCACUCAUUUAAAGAGUGCGUAAUAGCUCACUGGUCGAGUGAUCCUGCGCCGAAAAUUUCCGGGGCUAAAACGUACUACCGAAGCUACGGCAUCAUUUAUGAUGGGUAGGGGAGCUUCGUAUGCAGGCUGAAGCAUGACCGUAAGGACAUGUGGACAGUAUACGAGUGAGAAUGUUGGCAUGAGUAGCGAGACGUGGGUGAGAAUCCCACGGGCCGUAAACCCAAGGUUUCCAGGGGAAGGUUCGUCCGCCCUGGGUUAGUCGGGACCUAAGCCGAGGCCGAAAGGCGUAGGUGAUGGACAACAGGUUGAUAUUCCUGUACCGCCAAUAAGCGUUUGAGAGAUGGAGUGACACAGUAGGAUAAGCUAACCGUACUGUUGGUUAUGUACGGCUAAGCAUUGAGGCAGUCUAAAUAGGCAAAUCCGUUUAGACAAUGCUAGGAUGUGAUGGGGAAGCCCUUCGGGGCGAAGUAGCUGAUUUCACACUGUCAAGAAAAGCUUCUAUCGAGUUUAAAGGCGCCCGUACCGUAAACCGACACAGGUGGGUGAGGAGAGUAUCCUAAGGCCAGCGAGAGAACUAUUGUUAAGGAACUCGGCAAAAUGACCCCGUAACUUAGGGAGAAGGGGUGCCUGUCUAUGACAGGCCGCAGAGAAUAGGCCCAAGCGACUGUUUACCAAAAACACAGGUUUCUGCUAAGUCGCAAGACGAUGUAUAGGAGCUGACGCCUGCCCGGUGCUGGAAGGUUAAGGGGAUCUGUUAGAGCAAUCGAAGCAGUGAACUUAAGCCCCAGUAAACGGCGGCCGUAACUAUAACGGUCCUAAGGUAGCGAAAUUCCUUGUCGGGUAAGUUCCGACCCGCACGAAAGGCGUAACGAUUUGGGCACUGUCUCAACAAUAGACUCGGUGAAAUUGUAAUCCCGGUGAAGAUGCCGGGUACCUGCGACAGGACGGAAAGACCCCAUGGAGCUUUACUGUAGCUUGACGUUGGGUCUUGGUACUACAUGUACAGGAUAGGUGGGAGACUAUGAAGCAUGGACGCCAGUCUGUGUGGAGUCAUCCUUGGGAUACCACCCUUGUAGUACUGGGAUCCUAACCAUAGGCCUUGAAUCAGGUCUUGGAACACCGUCAGGUGGGCAGUUUGACUGGGGCGGUCGCCUCCUAAAAAGUAACGGAGGCGCUCAAAGGUUUCCUCAGCACGGUCGGAAAUCGUGCGAAGAGUGUAAAGGCAAAAGGAAGCUUGAUUGCAAGACAUACAGGUCGAGCAAGGACGAAAGUCGGACUUAGUGAUCCGGUGGUACCGCAUGGAAGGGCCAUCGCUCAACGGAUAAAAGCUACCCUGGGGAUAACAGGCUUAUCUCCCCCAAGAGUCCACAUCGACGGGGAGGUUUGGCACCUCGAUGUCGGCUCAUCACAUCCUGGGGCUGUAGUAGGUCCCAAGGGUUGGGCUGUUCGCCCAUUAAAGUGGUACGCGAGCUGGGUUCAGAACGUCGUGAGACAGUUCGGUCCCUAU